GCGGGAGUGCCAGAGUCUGGAAAAUGGGUUGGACUCAAAAUCCAAUAGCUUAGUGCUUACGCAGGUUCAAAUCCUGUCUCCCGCA
Molecule: transfer RNA, 85 nt
Filed under: Nanobdellota archaeon
Lineage: Archaea; Nanobdellati; Nanobdellota
Description: tRNA-Leu
Rfam family: tRNA
About the family: Transfer RNA (tRNA) molecules are approximately 80 nucleotides in length. Their secondary structure includes four short double-helical elements and three loops (D, anti-codon, and T loops). Further hydrogen bonds mediate the characteristic L-shaped molecular structure. tRNAs have two regions of fundamental functional importance: the anti-codon, which is responsible for specific mRNA codon recognition, and the 3' end, to which the tRNAs corresponding amino acid is attached (by aminoacyl-tRNA synthetases). tRNAs cope with the degeneracy of the genetic code in two manners: having more than one tRNA (with a specific anti-codon) for a particular amino acid; and 'wobble' base-pairing, i.e. permitting non-standard base-pairing at the 3rd anti-codon position.
Source: RNAcentral